Molecule: ribosomal RNA, 503 nt
Filed under: uncultured bacterium
Lineage: Bacteria
Description: bacterial SSU rRNA
Rfam family: Bacterial small subunit ribosomal RNA
Source: RNAcentral
GACGAACGCUGGCGGCGUGGAUUAGGCAUGCAAGUCGAACGGUAUCAUCCUUUCGGGGGUGAGAGAGUGGCGAACUGGUGAGUAACACGUAGGUUAUCUACCCUCAAGACGGGGACAACCCAGGGAAACUUGGGCUAAUACCGGAUGUGAGCAACUUUUAGUUGUUUGAAAGGUGGCGUAAGCUGUCGCUUGGGGAUGAGCCUGCGUCCUAUUAGUUAGUUGGUGAGGUAACGGCUCACCUAGGCAAUGAUAGGUAGGCGGCCUUAACGGGUGGUCGCCCACACUGGGAUUGAGAUACGGCCCAGACUCCUACGGGAGGCAGCAGUCGAGAAUAGUCUACAAUGGUCGGAAGACUGAUAGUGCGACGCCGCGUGAACGAUGAAUCCCUUCGGGGUGUAAAGUUCUUUUAUAUGUGAGCAGUGCUUCUUAUAUUAACAGUAUGGGGAAGAGAUAUUAGCAUAUGAAUAAGCAACGGCUAAACUCCGUGCCCAGCCAGCCGCGGU